Molecule: ribosomal RNA, 409 nt
Filed under: bacterium
Lineage: Bacteria
Description: partial 16S ribosomal RNA
Rfam family: Bacterial small subunit ribosomal RNA
Source: RNAcentral
UGGGGAAUAUUGCACAAUGGGCGAAAGCCUGAUGCAGCGACGCCGCGUGAGGGAUGACGGCCUUCGGGUUGUAAACCUCUUUCAGUAGGGACGAAGCGCAAGUGACGGUACCUGCAGAAGAAGCACCGGCUAACUACGUGCCAGCAGCCGCGGUAAUACGUAGGGUGCGAGCGUUGUCCGGAAUUACUGGGCGUAAAGAGCUCGUAGGCGGUUUGUCACGUCGUCUGUGAAAUCCUAGGGCUUAACCCUGGACGUGCAGGCGAUACGGGCUGACUUGAGUACUACCGGGGAGACUGGAAUUUCUGGUGUAGCGGUGGAAUGCACAGAUAUCAGGAAGAACACCGAUGGCGAAGGCAGGUCUCUGGGUAGUAACUGACGCUGAGGAGCGAAAGCAUGGGUAGCGAACAGG